Molecule: non-coding RNA, 220 nt
Organism: Parasteatoda tepidariorum (common house spider)
Lineage: Eukaryota; Metazoa; Arthropoda; Arachnida; Araneae; Theridiidae
Source: RefSeq, a predicted model, not a curated record
ACCCAAAAUAGCAUUCAGCAUUUCCUAGUUUUAAUUAUUAAGUAAAUUUAUGGAGAAAAAAUAUGCUAAAGUAAGCAAAUAACAUAUCUAUGAACAUUGUGAAUAUGUAGAAAUACAAUAAAUAAAAUGUAAACGAAUUUCUUACAGCAUAAUUAUGAAAAGCAGCAUAAUGUAAAGGAGUUGCACCAGAGUCAUCAGCACUAGUGUAAAGGCUCUUUUU